GCCGAAGUGGUGAAAUUGGUAGACGCACCGGUUUCAGGGACCGGCGAGCUUAUCGCUUGUGGGGGUUCGAGUCCCCCCUUCGGCA
Molecule: transfer RNA, 85 nt
Filed under: bacterium
Lineage: Bacteria
Description: tRNA-Leu
Rfam family: tRNA
About the family: Transfer RNA (tRNA) molecules are approximately 80 nucleotides in length. Their secondary structure includes four short double-helical elements and three loops (D, anti-codon, and T loops).
Source: RNAcentral